Molecule: ribosomal RNA, 464 nt
Filed under: Vreelandella stevensii
Lineage: Bacteria; Pseudomonadati; Pseudomonadota; Gammaproteobacteria; Oceanospirillales; Halomonadaceae
Description: partial 16S ribosomal RNA
Rfam family: Bacterial small subunit ribosomal RNA
Source: RNAcentral
CCUACGGGAGGCUGCAGUGGGGAAUAUUGGACAAUGGGCGAAAGCCUGAUCCAGCCAUGCCGCGUGUGUGAAGAAGGCCUUCGGGUUGUAAAGCACUUUCAGUGGGGAAGAAAGCCUUGGGGCUAAUACCCUCGAGGAAGGACAUCACCCACAGAAGAAGCACCGGCUAACUCCGUGCCAGCAGCCGCGGUAAUACGGAGGGUGCGAGCGUUAAUCGGAAUUACUGGGCGUAAAGCGCGCGUAGGCGGUCUGAUAAGCCGGUUGUGAAAGCCCCGGGCUCAACCUGGGAACGGCAUCCGGAACUGUCAGGCUAGAGUGCAGGAGAGGAAGGUAGAAUUCCCGGUGUAGCGGUGAAAUGCGUAGAGAUCGGGAGGAAUACCAGUGGCGAAGGCGGCCUUCUGGACUGACACUGACGCUGAGGUGCGAAAGCGUGGGUAGCAAACGGGAUUAGAUACCCGGUAGUC